GCAGCCUCGCUAAAGGGCACAUUGUUCUGCACUGAGAGGCCUCUGUGCCAUGUGUUUUGAUACACUUUAAAGUUCAUAGAAUCAGGGAGUCUGGAUUCAGAAGGGGUCUGAGAAGGUCAUUCAAAUCUGUCUUUCCUCUUCCUAUUUUAUCUUUAUACAGACAAACACAUUCAAGUCAACAAGUCAUUUUAAACAGUUACCCUGUCUAGAGUGCCUGGGACAAGAAUAAGCGAAAGGAGCCAUGAACCUAAGCCUUUGCCUGGAGUGGGCAGCAAAGCCUUUUCAGAAAAGAAUUACCUGCUCAGCAUCUCCACUUGCCUGGCCCUCUCACUUCUCCAUGGAAGAAGCUGCAGCAGAGAUAAUACGCAAACAUGUUUUGAUAUCACAUCUACAGAACUUACAGUCUCAAGAGGAACCAUGUAAACAAUUUAUCAUACAAUGAGAAAGAAUGAAACCUACUGCAGAAUUGGAACAGGGCCAUGGAAAAGUAAGCAUACAAUUUUGACCUCUUUCACAACAUCUAUUUCUUAUAUUUGAAGACUAGAAGUUAAAUGCUUUCAUGGUUUCAAAAUUAAACUGCAAAUUUUGUAUUGCUUUACAUUUCAAGCUUAAGAAAUUUAAAUAAUAGGUUAAUGAUAGUUUCCUGUUCUCCAUUACUUCAGAAGGCAAAUUUUAGGGAACUAGGGUUUUAUUGUGGUAACAAGGGAAUAAAAGAAGUAAAUACCCAUAAGCUGUGCAAUUGUAGAAUGUUAAGAUCACACAGGAUGCAAGGAUUAAAUAGCCUGCUCUCUUGUCCUAAGAAGGAGGAAACAGGCCCAGGAGAAUAGAAUGAAGUUUUAGGGUAAUUAUAAGAAAUUUUCAGUAACAGAUGAUACAACUAUAAUCAGUAUUUUCCAUGUGAAAAAGGAUGAUUUAAGUGCCUUACGAGAUUUACUUGAUUUUUUGAAACAAC
Molecule: long non-coding RNA, 952 nt
Filed under: Capra hircus (goat)
Lineage: Eukaryota; Metazoa; Chordata; Mammalia; Artiodactyla; Bovidae
Description: lncRNA (ENSCHIG00010003804.1)
Source: RNAcentral